GGGAAACUGCCCGAUGGAGGGGGAUAACUACUGGAAACGGUAGCUAAUACCGCAUAACGUCGCAAGACCAAAGUGGGGGACCUUCGGGCCUCACACCAUCGGAUGUGCCCAGAUGGGAUUAGCUAGUUGGUGAGGUAAUGGCUCACCAAGGCGACGAUCCCUAGCUGGUCUGAGAGGAUGACCAGCCACACUGGAACUGAGACACGGUCCAGACUCCUACGGGAGGCAGCAGUGGGGAAUAUUGCACAAUGGGCGCAAGCCUGAUGCAGCCAUGCCGCGUGUAUGAAGAAGGCCUUCGGGUUGUAAAGUACUUUCAGCGAGGAGGAAGGCAUUAAGGUUAAUAACCUUAGUGAUUGACGUUACUCGCAGAAGAAGCACCGGCUAACUCCGUGCCAGCAGCCGCGGUAAUACGGAGGGUGCAAGCGUUAAUCGGAAUUACUGGGCGUAAAGCGCACGCAGGCGGUCUGUCAAGUCGGAUGUGAAAUCCCCGGGCUCAACCUGGGAACUGCAUUCGAAACUGGCAGGCUAGAGUCUUGUAGAGGGGGGUAGAAUUCCAGGU
RNAcentral lists this ribosomal RNA (559 nucleotides) under uncultured bacterium. Its description in RNAcentral is "bacterial SSU rRNA". It matches the Rfam family "Bacterial small subunit ribosomal RNA", at positions 120 to 674 of the family's 1533-position model. The record is from RNAcentral.